GGGGAUAUAGCUCAGUUGUUAGAGUGCUUGCCUCACAUGCACAAGGUCCUGGGUUCAAUCCCCAACACCACCA
RNAcentral lists this transfer RNA (73 nucleotides) under Ictidomys tridecemlineatus (thirteen-lined ground squirrel). Its description in RNAcentral is "Spermophilus tridecemlineatus (thirteen-lined ground squirrel) tRNA". It matches the Rfam family "tRNA". Rfam says of the family: Transfer RNA (tRNA) molecules are approximately 80 nucleotides in length. Their secondary structure includes four short double-helical elements and three loops (D, anti-codon, and T loops). Lineage: Eukaryota; Metazoa; Chordata; Mammalia; Rodentia; Sciuridae. The record is from Rfam by way of RNAcentral.